This 253-nucleotide ribosomal RNA is filed under the name uncultured bacterium. RNAcentral describes it as "partial 16S ribosomal RNA". It matches the Rfam family "Bacterial small subunit ribosomal RNA", at positions 524 to 776 of the family's 1533-position model. The record is from RNAcentral.
UACGUAGGGGGCAAGCGUUGUCCGGAAUUAUUGGGCGUAAAGAGCGUGUAGGCGGUCCGGUAAGUCGGCUGUGAAAGUCCAGGGCUCAACCCUGGGAUGCCGGUCGAUACUGCCGGACUAGAGUUCGGAAGAGGCGAGUGGAAUCCCCGGUGUAGCGGUGGAAUGCGCAGAUAUCAGGAAGAACACCAACGGCGAAGGCAGCUCGCUGGGACGGUACUGACGCUGAGACGCGAAAGCGUGGGGAGCGAACAGG